AUUCUUCUUCUUGAAUGUAUCUAUGGUAUUGGCACCCACGACAUGACUGCCAAGCCUGUUCCAAGCCUAUCUCUGUUUUUAUUUCACCUCUACACUCUCAUGCAGUCUAUCUUUCUGUCUAUCUGUCACAUUUGCACUCCCCGGAAAGAAGAAUCCACCAAGGCCUUCUUACCCCCAAAAUAUAUUAUCCACCCCGCCCUUGUAACGACCGAUUAACUGUAAUUUCUUGAUGGAUAGCCGAGCGCUGUGCACCAAUUAUCAGUUUGUGCUCCGUCAUCAUCAUCAUCAUCAACAACAUCAAUGGGCUGAGGUUUUAUGGGGUCGUCGAUAAGGGGGAACUUGUGAAUGAUGUAUGCUUCAAAUAUUUUCUUCCUGGUUACUGGCUUGUGAAUUGUGGGUCAUGGUUUGCGUGGGAAUAAUAUUGUUUUAGGAUCUGGAAAUGAAGAUAAAAAGAGUAAGUUUAAAUAUAAGGAUUGAAGGAUAAAAUGUACUGUGAGUAAACAAUAAGAAAUAGUGGUUUACGAAUUUUAGGUCUUGAUAUGGAGGGAAUUUUUUAUCUUUUUUGUGCAGGGAAACAGAGACGGAUAGGGAAGAUAGGGAAGAGAAAGAAGAAAGAGGAACAGAAGGGCAGAAAAAUAGGGAAGAAAAAG
Long non-coding RNA from Eriocheir sinensis (Chinese mitten crab), 650 nucleotides. RefSeq lists it as uncharacterized. NCBI's taxonomy places the organism in Eukaryota, Metazoa, Arthropoda, Malacostraca, Decapoda, Varunidae. The transcript has 2 exons. The record is from RefSeq and is a predicted model, not a curated record.